RNAcentral lists this microRNA precursor (56 nucleotides) under Ornithorhynchus anatinus (platypus). Its description in RNAcentral is "Oan-Mir-15-P1a_pre stem-loop". Lineage: Eukaryota; Metazoa; Chordata; Mammalia; Monotremata; Ornithorhynchidae. The record is from RNAcentral.
UAGCAGCACAUAAUGGUUUGUGAGUUUUGAAAUACAGGCCAUAUUGUGCUGCCUCA